AACCUUUAUGUUAGACCUCAAAUCAGGUAGGACUACCCGCUGAACUUAAGCAUAUCAAUAAGCGGAGGAAAAGAAACUAACAAGGAUUCCCCUAGUAGCGGCGAGCGAACCGGGAAGAGCUCAAAUUUAAAAUCUGGCGUCCUUCGGGCGUCCGAGUUGUAAUCUACAGAAGUGUUUUCCGUGCCGGACCGUGUCCAAGUCCCUUGGAAUAGGGUAUCAAAGAGGGUGACAAUCCCGUACUUGACACGACAACCGGUGCUCU
RNAcentral lists this ribosomal RNA (262 nucleotides) under Hannaella luteola. RNAcentral's name for it is "partial 26S ribosomal RNA". It matches the Rfam family "Eukaryotic large subunit ribosomal RNA", at positions 1 to 245 of the family's 3401-position model. Lineage: Eukaryota; Fungi; Basidiomycota; Tremellomycetes; Tremellales; Bulleribasidiaceae. The record is from RNAcentral.